This is an RNA transcript of Drosophila pseudoobscura, 1478 nucleotides long. RefSeq lists it as uncharacterized. The record is from RefSeq and is a predicted model, not a curated record. NCBI's taxonomy places the organism in Eukaryota, Metazoa, Arthropoda, Insecta, Diptera, Drosophilidae. The transcript is spliced from 2 exons.
UAACUGACAGAAAAGGAAACGUGGAACGUGGAACGUGCGAGCAUCUCUCAUUACCUCGUACCUAAGGCCAAGACCGAGAGGAAAAUUUCUAUUCAUUUUCUCUCUGUUUCGUUUCGCUGUUUAGCGAGUAAUGGCAUGGCGAAACAACAAAACUGCUACAAAUUGAUUUGUCUUAUAAAUCAAAUGCCGAAACGCAAUCAUUUUCCCAAUGAGAGUGGGGAAAAGUUUUCCUUUCUGCAGAUGCUUUUAGUUUUUCAGCACGUUUACUGUUGGAUGCUGAUGCCUGAUUCGAUGUGUUCGAUGUGCUCUCCAUGUUCCCAUUCGGGCCGACAAUAAUUAGCCAUGAUUUUCAAUGUAAUAAAGCAAGAGUGAGCAGAUUAUUGAACUCGGCCACCAAAUAUCGGCAGAGCCGCUACAAUUAUUGGAUGUGCCACCUAUUUUCCACACACUCCACUCUCCCGUGUGAGUGGCAUCUUCAGACUCCGCUGGUGCUUGGCACCACUCAAAACGAUCUUUUAGCACCUCAUACACGAGCCACUUCCAGUGCAGUCUCGUCUAGCAUAAAGGAAAGUGCUUUUACCGACAGUUUAACUGCUGCAAGUGCCGCUACUACUGCCCCGUACUGCCCUCCGGCACAGCACCGCGCACCUGACGCCGAGCCAGAGGCAGAGGCAGAGGCAGAGGCAGAGGCUGCUAAACACCGUCUCUGGCCAAAGUGAAAUUGUGACAGCUGCAGAGCAGACAACCAACAAGCGGCGCAGACGCAUGUGGAUGUGGAUGCCACGGCUCCAGAGCCAAAGCCAAAGCCAAAGCCAGACGAAGGCACAGACACUAGAGAGCAAAGCCAGUCAACAACAAUUAAAGUCUGGCUGAGUUGUGGCCAAACCUGUUGUUUUGCGGCAGACGCAGACGCAGACUCCUUCAUAAAAAUUGCAGCAGCAGGCAACAGCAGCGGCCGGCAAAAGAUGCAACUGGCAAAAAGUGCGUGAAAAAAGGCGAAGAAACAUAUUUUACAUAAUACAUAAAACUUUCUAUUUAACGAUGCGAUGCGAUGCCACACCAACUGACCAGAGACGAGAGACCAGACCCCAAAGACGAGAGACAGGAGACAGUUUCAUGUGGCGCGACAGCGUUCAUGGAUGCAAUGCUGUCUCUGGCUCUUACUCUGUCUCUGUCUCUGUCUCUGAUGGAUGCCUUUAAUUUGCCCAAAAAUAAAUAAAAAUCAUCUCAGCUUUUCAUGAAUCUGUGCCAAAACAAAAACAACAAAAAAACGUUAAAAUACUGUAAAUCGCGGCAUGUAAAUGGAAAAUGGAAAUGAAUAAACGACCCCCUCCUGGUAUAAACUUGGCACACUUUUGCGAUUUUUGCUGCAGCAGCUGGCGUUGCAAGUUAAAUAAAGUUAAUUGCGUUUCAUACAGUUCCAUUUAAGCAAAGUUUGUUUAAAGAUGCAUAAAUAAAGGAACACUGACUGAGGGAAC